RNAcentral lists this long non-coding RNA (222 nucleotides) under Gossypium barbadense (sea-island cotton). RNAcentral describes it as "long non-coding RNA (GBAR_LNC010976)". The record is from RNAcentral. Lineage: Eukaryota; Viridiplantae; Streptophyta; Magnoliopsida; Malvales; Malvaceae.
AAACUUGUGAUUGAAUUUUCAAUUAGCACUAAAAUUAAAUUCCAUUCUUGGCCAAUCCCACUUUUACCCUGAAAAAAUAUAUAAUAUAAUAAAUUCAAUUGAAAAUUCUGCCCAACUUCUUGUUCUUUAUUCAUAGCAUCAUGUGCUGCUAUUCAUUAUCAUCCAGAAAAUUACAUUGAAAACUGCAGAAAAUUUAUAAAGAAAGGCCGUUCCUUAUCUAAG